Molecule: long non-coding RNA, 1896 nt
Filed under: Fukomys damarensis (Damara mole-rat)
Lineage: Eukaryota; Metazoa; Chordata; Mammalia; Rodentia; Bathyergidae
Description: lncRNA (ENSFDAG00000024604.1)
Source: RNAcentral
GGAACUGAGCAGUUUCCUGUGCCAGGUGCUUCUGCCUCACCAUACGCCAUGCCCUGAGCCCUCUGAAGCUAUGAACCAACAUAAACCUUUUCUCCUGGUAAAUCGAUUUCAUCAGGUGUUUGUCAGGCAGGCAAAAGUGGACGUGACAUGUACAGUGGCAUGCGCCGAGGACAGAGGACUGGGCACUCUGCACGCAGAGAGGCCAGCUAUCCUCUUCACGGCUGACUUCGCAUGCGGUGUGUGCCAAGGACCUCCAGGAGGCUUAACCCCGUGGGGACGAUACCUCGGGUCUGGUUUCUGCCAGGUGACCGGCAUUGUCACACAGACUCUACUGGAGUGGUCGUGGCAGCAGAGGCUCAUACGGUAUGUUCAUUCUCGGGGCACGGAGGGCAGUGCCCAGGGUCCCUCAGAAUUCCAGUCCCAUGUCAACACCUGGCAUGCGGUGUCAGCCCCCACACUGCUGGCAACCAGAUAAUGCCAUGGGAAAGAUACCUGGCUACAAAACACUUUAAUGUGAUCCUAUUUUCAUUCAGAAAAAAGCAUUCUAAAACAUUUCCCCAAAAUGUUAAUAGCAGUAGAUGAUGGCUCUUUUUUUGGCGGGGGGCGACUUUUUAAAAAAAUUAGUAUUAGUCCAUAUUUGCCCUACAUGGUGCCCACAUUCAUCAUAGGGAAUCUACAUAUCUUAAUUCUUAUUUUUUCCCGUUUCCUUCCCUUCCCUUCAACCUUUUCCCUCCCCAUUUACAGAAGCUUUGUUUCCAUCUUUUCCUUCUUUGUUUUUAAAUCCUUUUCCCGUCCAUUCCUUCCCUCUCCCCGCGCCUCACUACCUUCUCGACUGGAACAUGUUCUUUCUGCUUCACAACCUCUAUCCUCCAGUUUGCUCCUUGUUUACCCUGUUUCUCACACAAGAGAAACAAUGUGAUAUUCAAACUCAUGUGUCUUAUUUCACUGAAAACUAUGGCCUUGAGGUGCAUCUGUUUAACCACCAGUGACUCAGGUUUAUGCUUCUUUAUGGCAGGGUAGUAUUCCACUGUACAUAAAUUCCACAUCUGUAUUCAUUCAUAUAUUGAUGGGCACAAGAUUUAGCUAUGAUAUGCAUUUUGCUCUUAAAAACAUGGGUGUGCUCUAUCACUGUGGUAGGAUGCUUUUAACUCUUUCAGAAAGAUGCCUCGAAGGGGAAUAGCUGGGUCACAUGGAAUGUCUACUUCUGGUGUUUUGAAGAAUCUCCACACCGGUUUUCGUAGAGUUUGGACCAAUUUAUACUCCCACCAACAGUAGAGAAAGUGGCCCCACAGCCCCACCAGCCUUUGUUAUUUCUUUCUUGAUGGCAGUCAUUCUUUCUGGAGUCUCAGUGUUGUUUUAAUUUGCAUUUUUCAAAUGACCAGUGAUGUUGAACAUUUUUUCAUAUAUUUAUUUACUUCUUCAGCUGAGGAGUUUCUAUUCAUUUCAGAUACUUAUUUCUGGAUUGGGUCUUUAAAUUUGGGAGGUCCAGUUUUUUUUAGUUCUUUAUAUAUUCCAGACGUUAGUCCUUUGUCUGAGGAGUAACUGACAACAUUUUCCCCCACACUAUGGAUUGUCUCUUCACUCUGUUGGUGGCUUCUUUUGCUGUGCAAAAGCCUUUUAAUUUUACAUGAUCCCAGUUGUUGAUUCUUCAUAAUAUUUUCUGUGUGAUCAGGAUUUUCUUCAUAAAGUUUUUGUCAAUACUUAGGUCUUCCAGAGUUUUACCCUAUUCUCUCUUCCAGCAGAUUUAGUAUUUCUAUAUUUAUCUUUAGAUGUGUGAUCUGUUUCGAUUUUAGUUUAGUGUGCAUGGUGAACGAUAUGGGUCUAGGUUCAAUCUUCAGCAUGUGAAAAGCCAGUUUUCCCAGCAGUAUUUUUUUUUUUUUUUUUUUUUUUUUUUUU